This 423-nucleotide ribosomal RNA is filed under the name uncultured Lactobacillus sp. Its description in RNAcentral is "bacterial SSU rRNA". It matches the Rfam family "Bacterial small subunit ribosomal RNA", at positions 360 to 775 of the family's 1533-position model. The record is from RNAcentral. Lineage: Bacteria; Bacillati; Bacillota; Bacilli; Lactobacillales; Lactobacillaceae.
AAUCUUCCACAAUGGACGAAAGUCUGAUGGAGCAACGCCGCGUGAGUGAAGAAGGGUUUCGGCUCGUAAAACUCUGUUGUUAAAGAAGAACAUAUCUGAGAGUAACUGUUCAGGUAUUGACGGUAUUUAACCAGAAAGCCACGGCUAACUACGUGCCAGCAGCCGCGGUAAUACGUAGGUGGCAAGCGUUGUCCGGAUUUAUUGGGCGUAAAGCGAGCGCAGGCGGUUUUUUAAGUCUGAUGUGAAAGCCUUCGGCUCAACCGAAGAAGUGCAUCGGAAACUGGGAAACUUGAGUGCAGAAGAGGACAGUGGAACUCCAUGUGUAGCGGUGAAAUGCGUAGAUAUAUGGAAGAACACCAGUGGCGAAGGCGGCUGUCUGGUCUGUAACUGACGCUGAGGCUCGAAAGUAUGGGUAGCAAACAG